UACGGAGGGUGCAAGCGUUAAUCAGAUUUACUGGGCGUAAAGCGUGCGUAGGCGGCUUUUUAAGUCGGAUGGGAAAUCCCCGCGCUUAACUUGGGAAUUGCAUUCGAUACUGGGAAGCUAGAGUAUCGGAGAGGAUGGUAGAAUUUCAGGUGUAGCGGGGAAAUGCGUAGAGAUCUGGAGGAAUACCGAUGGCGAAGGCAGCCAUCUGGCCUAAUACUGACGCUGAGGUACGAAAGCAUGGGGAGCAAACAGG
RNAcentral lists this unclassified non-coding RNA (253 nucleotides) under uncultured Moraxellaceae bacterium. RNAcentral describes it as "contains 16S-23S intergenic spacer region". It matches the Rfam family "Bacterial small subunit ribosomal RNA", at positions 524 to 776 of the family's 1533-position model. Lineage: Bacteria; Pseudomonadati; Pseudomonadota; Gammaproteobacteria; Moraxellales; Moraxellaceae. The record is from RNAcentral.